GGGCCCAUAGCUCAACGGUUAGAGCGGCCGGCUCAUAACCGGUUGGUUCCGGGUUCAAGUCCUGGUGGGCCCA
This 73-nucleotide transfer RNA is filed under the name Chloroflexi bacterium ADurb.Bin222. RNAcentral describes it as "tRNA-Met". It matches the Rfam family "tRNA". From Rfam's summary of the family: Transfer RNA (tRNA) molecules are approximately 80 nucleotides in length. Lineage: Bacteria; Bacillati; Chloroflexota. The record is from RNAcentral. RNAcentral also lists the same sequence under 2 other names.